Long non-coding RNA from Centruroides sculpturatus (bark scorpion), 298 nucleotides. RefSeq lists it as uncharacterized. Lineage: Eukaryota; Metazoa; Arthropoda; Arachnida; Scorpiones; Buthidae. The transcript has 3 exons. The record is from RefSeq and is a predicted model, not a curated record.
UUAUGAUGUAAAACAUGGUAUAAAAUCAGAAUGUAAAGUUGUUUUGAAAAAAUUGAAGAUUGAAGUAAAGACUGAAGAUUGUAAAGAAGUUGUUCAUCUUCCAGAUGAUAAUGAACAGGUAAUGCCAGUCAACAAUGAAUUCUUCACUCCGGACGAAGAUUUCAACAAUAAUGAAAUGAACAUCCAAAUUAAGGAGGAAGAGCAGAUUCAAGAAGAUAUUCUACACAACUGCGAAAGAGAAAAACAUUUUAAAUAUAAUAUCAAAACAAGCAAAUACGUUUUUUCCAGUAGGAAAUGC